This 497-nucleotide ribosomal RNA is filed under the name uncultured bacterium. RNAcentral's name for it is "partial 16S ribosomal RNA". It matches the Rfam family "Bacterial small subunit ribosomal RNA", at positions 28 to 507 of the family's 1533-position model. The record is from RNAcentral.
GAUGAACGCUGGCGGCGUGCCUAAUACAUGCAAGUCGAGCGAACAGACGAGGAGCUUGCUCCUCUGACGUUAGCGGCGGACGGGUGAGUAACACGUGGAUAACCUACCUAUAAGACUGGGAUAACUUCGGGAAACCGGAGCUAAUACCGGAUAAUAUAUUGAACCGCAUGGUUCAAUAGUGAAAGACGGUUUUGCUGUCACUUAUAGAUGGAUCCGCGCCGCAUUAGCUAGUUGGUAAGGUAACGGCUUACCAAGGCAACGAUGCGUAGCCGACCUGAGAGGGUGAUAGGCCACACUGGAACUGAGACACGGUCCAGACUCCUACGGGAGGCAGCAGUAGGGAAUGUUCCGCAAUGGGCGAAAGCCUGACGGAGCGACGCCGCGUGAGUGAUGAAGGUCUUCGGAUCGUAAAACUCUGUUAUUAGGGAAGAACAAAUGUGUAAGUAACUAUGCACGUCUUGACGGUACCUAAUCAGAAAGCCACGGCUAACUACGUG